GGGUCAGUAGGUUGGUCGUGCCACCGGUACGUACUGGUCUCACUGAUUCCUCCUUCCUGAAUAACCGUAAUGCCAUUAAUUUGGUGUUGCGGGGAAACAGGACUGUUACUUUGAAAAAAUUAGAGUUUUUAAAGCAAGCUAACGCUUUAAUACAUUAGCAUGGAAUAAUGAAAUAGGGCGAUCGAUCCUAUUUUGUUGGUUUCUAGGAUUGACGUA
RNAcentral lists this ribosomal RNA (216 nucleotides) under Glomeromycotina sp. Its description in RNAcentral is "partial small subunit ribosomal RNA". The stretch from base 40 to 216 matches the Rfam family "Eukaryotic small subunit ribosomal RNA", at positions 686 to 864 of the family's 1831-position model. The record is from RNAcentral. Lineage: Eukaryota; Fungi; Glomeromycota.